This is a long non-coding RNA of Micropterus dolomieu (smallmouth bass), 652 nucleotides long. RefSeq lists it as uncharacterized. The record is from RefSeq and is a predicted model, not a curated record. Lineage: Eukaryota; Metazoa; Chordata; Actinopteri; Centrarchiformes; Centrarchidae. The transcript is spliced from 3 exons.
AGAGUGGGGAGUGCAGACGGCAUGGUGAGCUGGGUGAAACGACAGUGCAGCAAGCGAUAAGUCUGAACCUUGUGGUGGGGUUCACUCCCUCAGUGGAGGGAGGGCGAAAUUCGUUAUUGUAUCCUGUGUUGUUUUCUCAUUUGUGGCAUUUGUGGGCGCUUCCUUGUUUUGGGAAGUUGUUUUUGGUAGACCCUCCCUGAGGGUACCUUAGGUUUUUUUCUCCGUAUUGUAAAUAAAACGCGUAUGACCUGUAAAAGCUGUCUCCUGGCUUCCUUCAACCUGGAAUGAUUCUAUUAUUGUCACUAACCUCCUCAUCCCCUGGACUUUCCACUGGAGCUUGGGAGAUCACCACCAUAGCUUGUUCCUGCUUCACAUGGCUUCCCUGCUGUGAAAUUCCCACAUUCUCCUUCAUACAGGCAAAUGAGGCUGAAGCGCCAAAUAUGCUAGCAGAAGUCCAUCUGUCUAAAUCUUUUGAUACUGUUAGGGAGAACAUAAACAGCAGCAAUGAGAUGAUAAAAUGGUUCGAGCAUCAUGCAUCAUUGAUGUAAAGUCCACCUCCUCUCAUCUUGCCGGAGUCUUGCGCUGACAGCUUGAACACGGACCGCCCGCCGAGUGCUUGAUCGGGGUUGUGGAUGAGGCAGGUCUCUGUGUA